Molecule: ribosomal RNA, 460 nt
Filed under: uncultured bacterium
Lineage: Bacteria
Description: partial 16S ribosomal RNA
Rfam family: Bacterial small subunit ribosomal RNA
Source: RNAcentral
CCUACGGGCGGCAGCAGUGAGGAAUAUUGGUCAAUGGCCGGAAGGCUGAACCAGCCAUGCCGCGUGAAGGUCAGUGCCCUAUGGGCGUUAAACUUCUUUUGUGCGGGAGCAAUAAUGGUCACGUGUGGCCAGACGAGAGUACCGUACGAAUAAGCAUCGGCUAACUCCGUGCCAGCAGCCCCGGGAAUACGGGGGAUGCAAGCGUUAUCCGGAUUUUUUGGGUUUAAAGGGGUCGGAGGCUGUGAGGUAAGUCAGCGGGGAAAAGCCCCCGCUCAAAGGGGUGAAGUGCCAUUGAUACUGCCUUGCUGGAAUGCGGAUGCCGUAGGAGGAAUGUGUGGUGUAGCGGUGAAAUGCAUAGAUAUCACACAGAACACCGAUUGCGAAGGCAUCUCACGAAUCCGCGAUUGACGCUGAUGCACGAAAGCGUGGGUAUCAAACAGGAUUAGAUACCCGAGUAGUC